Molecule: transfer RNA, 76 nt
Filed under: Clostridia bacterium
Lineage: Bacteria; Bacillati; Bacillota; Clostridia
Description: tRNA-Pro
Rfam family: tRNA
About the family: Transfer RNA (tRNA) molecules are approximately 80 nucleotides in length.
Source: RNAcentral
CGGGGUAUGGCGCAGCUGGGAGCGCGCUUGACUGGGGGUCAAGAGGCCGCAGGUUCAAGUCCUGUUACUCCGACCA